GGGUCAGUAGGUUGGUCGUGCCACCGGUACGUACUGGUCUCACUGAUUCCUCCUUCCUGAAGAACCGUAAUGCCAUUAAUCUGGUGUUGCGGGGAAACAGGACUGUUACUUUGAAAAAAUUAGAGUGUUUAAAGCAGGCUAACGCUUGAAUACAUUAGCAUGGAAUAAUGAAAUAGGACGAUCGAUCCUAUUUUGUUGGUUUCUAGGAUUGACGUA
Molecule: ribosomal RNA, 216 nt
Filed under: Glomeromycotina sp.
Lineage: Eukaryota; Fungi; Glomeromycota
Description: partial small subunit ribosomal RNA
Rfam family: Eukaryotic small subunit ribosomal RNA (bases 40-216)
Source: RNAcentral